CCUACGGGAGGCAGCAGUGAGGAAUAUUGGUCAAUGGACGGAAGUCUGAACCAGCCAAGCCGCGUGAAGGAGGAAGGCGCUGUGCGUCGUAGACUUCUUUUAUCGGGGGAUAAAACGCGGUACGUGUCCCUUCCUGAGUGUACCCUAUGAAUAAGGAUCGGCUAACUCCGUGCCAGCAGCCGCGGUAAUACGGAGGAUCCGAGCGUUAUCCGGAUUUAUUGGGUUUAAAGGGUGCGGAGGCGGGCCGUUAAGGCAGCGGUGAAAGUUGGGGGCUCAACCCCGGAAGUGCGGUCGAUACUGGGAGCCUUGAGUGCGGCGGAGGAAGGCGGAAUGCGCGGUGUAGCGGUGAAAUGCUUAGAUAUCGCGCAGAACCCCGAUUGCGAAGGCAGCGUGCCAUGCUGGGACUGACGCUGAGGCACGAAAGCGUGGGGAUCGAACAGGAUUAGAUACCCUUGUAGUC
This 460-nucleotide ribosomal RNA is filed under the name uncultured bacterium. RNAcentral describes it as "partial 16S ribosomal RNA". It matches the Rfam family "Bacterial small subunit ribosomal RNA", at positions 338 to 795 of the family's 1533-position model. The record is from RNAcentral.